UGGGUGACUGGCCUCAGAGGCCAGGGGAGGGAGAGGACUCAUGUCCCCCAGGAGGUAAGGAGGGAGACAGGGCUCACCACGGCCCUGCUCUGCCUCUUCCCAGGCUGC
RNAcentral lists this microRNA precursor (108 nucleotides) under Tursiops truncatus (common bottlenose dolphin). RNAcentral describes it as "miRNA (ENSTTRG00000024047.1)". Lineage: Eukaryota; Metazoa; Chordata; Mammalia; Artiodactyla; Delphinidae. The record is from RNAcentral.